GUAUUGCACCAAUUAUAAAUUUUAAGUUAGUUCAACUGAUAAUUUGGUACUGCAGUCAAAGCAGAUAAUGACUAGGAAUUGCUAAUUUUACCUCUGAAGCAAAGUUAGGUUCAUAUGUUCUCCGAGCAGCAUACUAUGCGGCCUUUCAUCCCCAUAUUGGUCUUUUUAAUCUAUGUAUUUGGAUGAAGGUGAGCACUGUUGCUUGCUGACUCACACAGCAGGAAUUAGGCGGGUUGUGGCGAACGAGGAACCAAGAGGGGCGGAAACUGUAGCUAUACAACUGCGGAAUUGAUCAAUACGAGCAUGCUUUGUCUAGCCAGGGAGAGCGCCGAGGGUGCUGGUCUGUGGCACCAGAAGAGGUGAACUCUCAACGAGAUACUAAUCAAUGGUGAAGUAUUUAGAUCAGUUCUACAACCAACUCAUGUGCUUAUAACUGUAGCUUUUGUUCAAACCUCAGUUGUAGGUAAGCUACAUUGCCAAGUGCAAAUCCUCAUCUUACUACAGUUUUCAACUUUUCAUUGAUUUUCUAUUUUGGAUUGUAUUUCCAUUUUGGGCCCCAUUUUUGACUGUAGCUUUUGUUCUGACCCCACUUGUACGCAAUGUAAUUUGCAGCCAUGAUGCUACAUUGCCAAUAUUUUAGAAAACUGUAAUUUGCUGCCAUGAUGUUACGCACGUGCAGGUCUAUGGUAGUGGUACGAAUUUGGGGGUACAUCUCCUCGCACUCAGGUGGAAGAAAUUCCUCGCCCUCAAGUCCAACUAAUUCAGGACCUGCAUCUCUGAUAUACCGUGGUUGGUUCCUUCCUCGAUGCCUUCUCUCUUGACAAUCGAUGAAAUACACAACUAGCUUGCACAUAUUUAAGGAGCACGUACAGUUUCAUUGUGUAAAAAAUAGUAGCAGGUGGGUAUUUUAGCAGUUCAGCUAUCUGAAA
Triticum aestivum (bread wheat) is the source of this 929-nucleotide long non-coding RNA. RefSeq lists it as uncharacterized. The transcript is spliced from 3 exons. Lineage: Eukaryota; Viridiplantae; Streptophyta; Magnoliopsida; Poales; Poaceae. The record is from RefSeq and is a predicted model, not a curated record.